GACGAACGCUGGCGGCGUGCUUAACACAUGCAAGUCGAACGAAGAGCGAUGGAAGCUUGCUUCUAUCAAUCUUAGUGGCGAACGGGUGAGUAACGCGUAAUCAACCUGCCCUUCAGAGGGGGACAACAGUUGGAAACGACUGCUAAUACCGCAUACGAUCUAAUCUCGGCAUCGAGGAUAGAUGAAAGGUGGCCUCUACAUGUAAGCUAUCACUGAAGGAGGGGAUUGCGUCUGAUUAGCUAGUUGGAGGGGUAACGGCCCACCAAGGCGAUGAUCAGUAGCCGGUCUGAGAGGAUGAACGGCCACAUUGGGACUGAGACACGGCCCAGACUCCUACGGGAGGCAGCAGGGGGGAAUCUUCCGCAAUGGACGAAAGUCUGGCGGAGCAACGCCGCGUGAGCGAUGACGGCCUUCGGGUUGUAAAGCUCUGUUAAUCGGGACGAAAGGCCUUCUUGCGAAUAGGGAGAAGGAUUGACGGUACCGGAAUAGAAAGCCACGGCUAACUACGUG
This 510-nucleotide ribosomal RNA is filed under the name uncultured bacterium. RNAcentral describes it as "partial 16S ribosomal RNA". It matches the Rfam family "Bacterial small subunit ribosomal RNA", at positions 28 to 507 of the family's 1533-position model. The record is from RNAcentral.